Molecule: ribosomal RNA, 483 nt
Filed under: uncultured bacterium
Lineage: Bacteria
Description: bacterial SSU rRNA
Rfam family: Bacterial small subunit ribosomal RNA
Source: RNAcentral
GAUGAACGCUAGCGGCAGGCUUAAUACAUGCAAGUCGAGGGGCAUCAAGGUACACGAAAGUGUAUUGUUGGCGACCGGCGGACGGGUGAGUAAUAGGUAGGUAACCUACCUCAUACUGAGGCAUAGCUGGGAGAAAUUCCAGGUAAUUCCUCAUGAGGUUAUAUGACACAUGUGAUAUAAUCAAAGGUAUCGCAAGGUACUGGUAUGAGAUGGGCUUACUGACCAUUAGCUAGUUGGUGAGAUAAGAGCUCACCAAGGCGAAGAUGGUUAGGGGUUUUGAGAGAGAGAUCCCCCACAUUGGAACUGAGAUACAGUCCAGACUCCUACGGGAGGCAGCAGUAGGGAAUAUUGGGCAAUGGGCGGAAGCCUGACCCAGCCAUGCCGCGUGAAGGAAGACGGCCUUAUGGGUUGUAAACUUCUUUACUAUGCGACUAACUAGAUUUACGAGAUAAUUCUAUAGAAUGUAGCAUAGCAAAAAGCACC